UACGUGGGGUGCAAGCGUUAAUCGGAAUUACUGGGCGUAAAGCGUACGCAGGCGGCUAUGUAAGACAGGUGUGAAAUCCCCGGGCUUAACCUGGGAACUGCAUUUGUGACUGCAUAGCUAGAGUCUGUCAGAGGGGGGUGGAAUUCCGCGUGUAGCAGUGAAAUGCGUAGAUAUGCGGAGGAACACCGAUGGCGAAGGCAAUCCCCUGGGCCUGCACUGACGCUCAUGCACGAAAGCGUGGGGAGCAAACAGG
RNAcentral lists this ribosomal RNA (253 nucleotides) under uncultured bacterium. RNAcentral describes it as "partial 16S ribosomal RNA". It matches the Rfam family "Bacterial small subunit ribosomal RNA", at positions 524 to 776 of the family's 1533-position model. The record is from RNAcentral.